This 577-nucleotide ribosomal RNA is filed under the name Neocinnamomum mekongense. Its description in RNAcentral is "eukaryotic LSU rRNA". It matches the Rfam family "Eukaryotic large subunit ribosomal RNA", at positions 73 to 647 of the family's 3401-position model. Lineage: Eukaryota; Viridiplantae; Streptophyta; Magnoliopsida; Laurales; Lauraceae. The record is from RNAcentral.
GAUUCCCCUAGUAACGGCGAGCGAACCGGGAGCAGCCCAGCUUGAGAAUCGGGCGGCCCUGCCGUCUGAAUUGUAGUCUGUAGAAGCGUCCUCAGCGACGGACCGGGCCCAAGUCCACUGGAAAGUGGCGCCGGAGAGGGUGAGAGCCCCGUCGUGCCCGGACCCUGCCGCACCACGAGGCGCUGUCGGCGAGUCGGGUUGUUUGGGAAUGCAGCCCCAAUCGGGCGGUAAAUUCCGUCCAAGGCUAAAUACCGGCGAGAGACCGAUAGCGAACAAGUACCGCGAGGGAAAGAUGAAAAGGACUUUGAAAAGAGAGUCAAAGAGUGCUUGAAAUUGUCGGGAGGGAAGCGGAUGGGGGCCGGCGAUGCGCCUCGGUCGGACGCGGAACGGCCAACAGCCGGUCCGCCACUCGACUCGGGGCGUGGACCGUUGCGGGUCGGGGCGGCGGCCAAAGCCCGUGCGGACGAUCCCGCCUGUGGUCGCCGUCGCCUCGAUCGGGGAGAUCGGCGCGCGCCUUCUGGGCGUGCCAAUCGGCACGAGCGCGCCUCGGCAAACGGCCUGCGGGCCCCCCAUUCGG